RNAcentral lists this ribosomal RNA (322 nucleotides) under uncultured eukaryote. RNAcentral's name for it is "partial 18S ribosomal RNA". It matches the Rfam family "Eukaryotic small subunit ribosomal RNA", at positions 1470 to 1796 of the family's 1831-position model. The record is from RNAcentral.
CCCUUAGAUGUUCUGGGCCGCACGCGUGCUACACUGGGUAAUUCAAUGGGUAAGGGAACGCUAGAGCAUUACCUAAUCUUGAAAUUUGCUCGUGAUGGGGAUCGACGGUUGCAAUUUUCCGUCGUGAACGAGGAAUACCUUGUAGGCGCAUGUCAUCAUCAUGCGCCGAAUACGUCCCUGCCCUUUGUACACACCGCCCGUCGCUCCUACCGAUUGAGUGAUCCGGUGAGGCUCUGGGACCUGGACGGAAAGAGCGUUUCGCUUGUUCUGUUUGGGAAACUUGGUCGAACCUUAUCAUUUAGAGGAAGGAGAAGUCGUAACA